Molecule: ribosomal RNA, 444 nt
Filed under: uncultured prokaryote
Description: bacterial SSU rRNA
Rfam family: Bacterial small subunit ribosomal RNA
Source: RNAcentral
UGAGGAAUCUUGCGCAAUGGGCGAAAGCCUGACGCAGCCACGCCGCGUGCCGGAUGAAGGCCCUAUGGGUUGUAAACGGCUUUUGUAAGGGAAGAACGCCCGGGAUUUGUCCUGGGGUGACGGUACCUUAUGAAUAAGCACCGGCUAACUCCGUGCCAGCAGCCGCGGUAAUACGGAGGGUGCAAGCGUUGUCCGGAAUCAUUGGGUGUAAAGGGUGCGUAGGCGGGCAUUUAAGUCUGGGGUGAAAUCUUGCCGCUUAACGGUAAAAUGGCCUUGGAUACUGAAUGUCUUGAGUGUAGAAGAGGCAGGUGGAAUUCGUAGUGUAGCGGUGAAAUGCAUAGAUAUUACGAUGAACAUCAGUGGCGAAGGCGGCCUGCUGGUCUACAACUGACGCUGAGGCACGAAAGCGUGGGGAGCGAACAGGAUUAGAUACCCCCGUAGUCC